UACGAAGGGGGCUAGCGUUGCUCGGAAUCACUGGGCGUAAAGCGCACGUAGGCGGAUUGUUAAGUCAGGGGUGAAAUCCUGGAGCUCAACUCCAGAACUGCCUUUGAUACUGGCGAUCUCGAGUCCGGGAGAGGUGAGUGGAACUGCGAGUGUAGAGGUGAGAUUCGUAGAUAUUCGCAAGAACACCAGUGGCGAAGGCGGCUCACUGGCCCGGUACUGACGCUGAGGUGCGAAAGCGUGGGGAGCAAACAGG
RNAcentral lists this ribosomal RNA (253 nucleotides) under uncultured bacterium. RNAcentral's name for it is "partial 16S ribosomal RNA". It matches the Rfam family "Bacterial small subunit ribosomal RNA", at positions 524 to 776 of the family's 1533-position model. The record is from RNAcentral.